Mytilus californianus (California mussel) is the source of this 4309-nucleotide RNA transcript. RefSeq lists it as uncharacterized. NCBI's taxonomy places the organism in Eukaryota, Metazoa, Mollusca, Bivalvia, Mytilida, Mytilidae. The record is from RefSeq and is a predicted model, not a curated record. The transcript has 8 exons.
GAGUGUAAUAUGGGCCGACUUAACCACCUCACAAGGCGCCAUUUUGAUUCCAGCAUCACUUCGACAAGAACAUAAACAACAGAUAAACAUCAAAUCUGCUAACAGAACAACUGCAGAAUAGGAAUUAUGGCAACAGCAGACGAAAAAGUUGAUAUGUCAUUAGAUGACAUAAUCAGACUUAACAGUCAGUCAGGGAGAGGUGGUAGAGGUCGUAGAAAUCAAGGUCGUGGUGGGAGAUCUGAUAGAGGGGGUAGAGGAGGAAACAGACAAGACGAUGGACUCAGAGGGACAAGAUAUGGAGGAGUACAGAAAGGCAGAGGGCAAAGAAAUUUUAGAGGGUUAAAGAGAAACUUGGGUGCUAAAGCUUUACAGAGACAAUUAUCAGGAGUUAGUCCACUUAAUAGACAAAAGAAGUCUGGACAUCAACAGAACCAACAACAAAAUCGGCAAGGACAGCAGCGUUAUUUCUCACAAAAUUCAUGGCAGCAACAAAGCAGAAAAGGUCAAAAUAGACAAGUGGUACCAAAUCAGAGUCCAAGGCAAAAUAGAAUAGGCUUACAAAAUAGACAAAGACAACAAGGUCAAAACCAACGACAAAAUAGACAAAUUCAACAAGGACAAAUCCCAAGGCAAAAUAUGCAGCAAGGAUUUUAUCAGCAUGAUUCUAGACCCAACCGUGGAAGAGGGCGAGGUGGUUUACAAGGAGGAGGUGCACGUAGGCAAAAUUUAGGAGUGAGGAAUAACAUUAAUAAUAAUAUAAUGAAUUUAUCCAAGAAAAAGACGGAAGCAUUGAAAGCACUUAAAAAAGCAAGGCAAACACUGCAGAAAAUUAAUCAGCAACAAAAUCAAGGACAGCAGAUUGUUGGAUUUAAACGGAAAAACAGUUUACAUACAUCUAUGUCCUCUUUGAUUGAGCAGCCUCCAGUUAAAAGACGAAGAAGAUGGAGAAAACCAGCUGCUGUAGAUGUAGAUGACGGAAUAUUAACUGUGAAUGUUGAUAAUUCAACUGUUGAACGUGGUCCUCGUCGAGGCAGAAGAUUAAACAGACAAGACAAUCUUAGGAAACAAAUACAAGCACUAAAACCAUCAGAACAAGUGACUUAUACAAUGGAAAAACAGUUGUUCUCUCAACCAUCAGUAAGUAGGAUUUAAAACCAUGGGAACAUGUAACAUACACCAUGGAAAAACAGUUGUUCUCUCAACCAUCAACCAGUUUAAGCCUUAGUGAAAGAUUCAAACAAGAAGGAAGAAAGGUAUUCUUUUGAUGACAGAGAACUAAAUCAGAGAGAAUGAGAACAGAAUGGAGAUAACUGUUGGUGUUGACUGAUGUUUGUAGUUUUGGUGGAUGUUUAUUGGUGCUGGAAAGUUCUUUUGUCAUGAUGGACCAUGUCAGAGUGUAAAGUUUGUCUCUAAAUGGAACAUGACAACACAUGGCUGAUGUUGAAGAUCAUGGGAUAGUUCUAGGAGAGUUUUACAUAUGAUAGGCAAACUAUCAAAUCCUGCAGUAUGAGAUGACUAGUCCAGUUUUAAAUACUUAUCUUGUUUUCUUAAGUUAAACAUUAUACCAAAAAUAGGUAAAUAAAUGGAAUAGUUACCAAGGAUCCUUUGCAGACAGCAAUACAUUGUUGGUUCUCGGUAAAUUUUGUUCUUUAAGAAGUAGUUGAAUUUAUAAAUAGUUUAAGAUCAACUUUGAUUUUUUUCAUGUUUUGUUGUCCUUGAGUUUAUAAUAUUAUAUUAAUUUUCUUAUUUGUUUUGCAAAUAAGCAGAUGUAAGGUUAAGUUAAAUCUUUACAAAAUAUUUUGAUGUUAAAACUUUUAAAAUAAAUACAGGUCAAAUUUGACAGACUAUUUUCCUUGUUCUUGAAUUUUGCCUAAUGAGUACAUGGAAACUAGCUUAAUUGAAUUAUAUAUGUAGUUUUUUAUAUAUAACAUUGACCAAAUUAAAUGUCAUUUGAAAUUUGGAGAUGUUGUAAGCAAUUUAAAACUGGCUAAAUUGAAUUUUUAUAUAUUUCAAUAUUUUAGUGUUGUUGUUACUGUGUUAUUGCCUUUGAUAAGGUCAAAAAGAGGGACAAAUCUAAUUUUCUGUUCAAUAAUUUGAGUGAGCAUAUACAGGUAAAAUUCUUUAAAAAUCAGAACUGUCAUUAUGGACCAUUAAACUGGGAUCAAGUAGCCUGGUAUCCAUGAUGAGUUUUUUACUUUGACAUAUUUUGCUUUUGGUAGGUCCUGAGUUAGGCUAUUCAUUAUAUGGAGAAUUUGAUGGUUUUUUUAUAUCAUUGGUAUGGUCAAAACUGUAGGGGAAAGUUGUCUCAUUGGCAAUCACACCACAUCUUCUUAUUUUUAUAUUUUCAAUAAUCUCACACAAUUUGAAAUUAUAUGUAAGCUACAAGUUGACAAAUUAUAUGUGGUUUUCAAAAAAUUAUAAUAAAUUGAAAUAUUUUCUAUAUUUCAAUUUAUUAUAAUUGAUUUGCCAAAACCAUAUAUUGAAAGUAGUUUAUGUGCAUCUGUGUCUGGGAGCCCUUUUUAGUUUAGUUCAAUAUUUUGUUAACUUAUUCAUAUUUCCAUUUUUGAAGUUAUAUGCGAGUUGUUUCCUGUCACAUAUUUGGUCUGUUAGAAAUUAAAUUUUGUGUAAGAAAGUGUGUGGAGCAGACAAUACUAUACACUUGAUGAAAUCACUGAACUUCAUACUAAAAGUUAGUCAAAUAUUUUGUCUUAUGUAGUAUUCAUUUUCUGUUGGACCUAAUAGCAUGUAAGGUCUGGUACAUUUCUUUCUUGUUUAAAUUUGUUUAUAACUGCACUAAGGACAAUUUCUAUCCUAUGAAAGCAGAUAUGUUAGAAACUCAGGUUAUGAUAUUAAUUUUUCUGUAGUUUUUUUAUGGUUAGUCCAAUUGUUGCAGCUUGACUGUUAUUUUCAAUAUUCUUGAUUAGUUGUAUGAAUAAUAAUUGUAUAUUAAAUCUAUUGAUGUGUGAAUGAGUUGUUCAGUUCUCUCAGUUCUUGUAUAUUCUCCACUCUGUGCCUCAUACAAGGACUUAUUAUUAUCAAUUAACAUACUGGUCAAUAAGUACAAUGCUUACUGUGAGAAAGGAAAUCAUUAGGGCAGUAUGAAUUAAAUGUUAUCCCUUGACAGAUUAUUGAGAUUAUGAGCUAAUGUGUGUAAACCAAUCAUUGGAUGUUUAUAUUUGGUAUUUUAUAAUAUUUAGAAUAUAUCUUUUUUAUAUUUCACUCUGUUGUAGAAUUUAUGUUUUUAGAAGUUGUACUCAAAUGUUUUAUUGGAUACUCUUAAUUACUAGAAUUUUUGUAUUAUUAGAUGAAGUGGCAAAGACUUAGACAUACUGGUGCUUGUAUAUUAUUACAACUGAUAGUAGAACAAUGAUAUUUAGUAAUGUAUAAGCAUUGGCUCAUCUUAUUUUCAUGGAGAUUAUUUGGCCUCACUCCUCACUUAAGUCUUUGUCCAUUGAUGUGAAACCUUUUCCAUAAUUUACUUCUUUGUAAUUAAGUCACAUUAUGAAAAAAAACUAAUGAUAAGUCAGUGAUAUUUAGAGGCAGUUUAAGUUUAAGAACAUCUCAUAUCCAAUGAGACUAUUUGCCUCCCCCCCCCUUCCACAAGUCAUUGGUCAUUAACUUCGAAACUUCUGCAUACCUCAUAUGUUAAUGGGCUGUUGUUUGAUUUUCCACAUUUGCAUUAUACUAAAGAAAUAUCUGUGUCAAAAUGUAAUCAUAUCUUUUUGUUAAAGUUAUAGUUUAUCAAGUAUAUAUGUUAUUUUGUUGAUAUUGGUGAUAGGACAUCAUUAGUUAUUUUGUUAGUUGUUGGUGUGAAUGAUAUAAAGUAAUACAUUACAUGUGAGAAAUGAAAUAAAAAGUCUACUCAAAUAGAUUGUUUGAUAUUUUGAUGAAGAAACAUUGCUGAUUAUGUGUGAUUUUGAUUUUAUGAGCUAUCUUGCUUCUGUUGGAUUAAAAUAUGUUUUAUGGUAGCUAUGUAGUAUAUCUACUUAACUAUAAGUAAUGGCAGACCUUAAAUGUCAUCAUUUUUAUUUUCAAUAGAAUAUUGCAAUUGUUUACUUAAUUUAGAUGGACUUAUCUGAAAUUGUAAAAUUGUUCAAUUCAUUCACCAAACAUUUGUAUUUCAUAAGUUUUAUUCAUGCAACAUGUAUUUUGUAUAAUCUGCUCAUAAUGAAAUCACUUAACACAAUUCUUGAAGACAAUAAACAAUUUAAAAAAAAGGAUUAGAAACUCUCUUUAUAGCCCUUGAUUCAAUGGAGAUUCCAUUUGUAUGUUUGUCAAUUCAAGUACAAAUAAAAAGUUGAAUUUGCAA